This 594-nucleotide ribosomal RNA is filed under the name Triticum aestivum (bread wheat). RNAcentral's name for it is "partial small subunit ribosomal RNA". The record is from RNAcentral. Lineage: Eukaryota; Viridiplantae; Streptophyta; Magnoliopsida; Poales; Poaceae.
AUGGUGCUGCGUGUUCUCAAUGGCUUGGAUUCUCUGGAGGUUAUUAAUAAAACGUUCAUCGUUCUUAUCCCUAAGGCACAAAAUCCAACCUCUUUAACCCAAUUCUGUCCAAUUAGUUUGUGCAAUGUAAUCUUUAAGAUUAUAUCCAACGUACAUUCUAACCGACUGAAAAAGAUUCUACCGGAGAUAAUAUCCCAAGAGCAGUCGGCGUUCGUCCCUGGUAGGCUCAUUACUGAUAAUGUCAUAGCUGCAUAUGAGUGCCUCCAUUUUAUGAAGAAGUCUAGAAGCAAGAACAAUUCCCAUUGUGCUUUGAAGUUGGAUAUGAUGAAGGCGUACAAUAGAGUUGAGUGGAAUUAUCUUGAAGCUGUAAGGAUUAAGAUUGGUUUGCAUCCUUCCUGGGUUAAAAAGGUAAUGCAAUGUGUGACCACAGUGUCCUUUUCAGUAUUGUUAAAUGGAAGCAGGCAGGAGGAGUUCAGACCUACGAGGGGGAUCGUCAAGGUGACCCAAUUUCACCAUAUUUAUUUUUGUUGGCUGCCAAAGGAUUCUCGUGUUUGCUCAAGUCUAAAGGUACAAAUGAGAAUGUGCAGGGUGUAG